RNAcentral lists this ribosomal RNA (529 nucleotides) under Aspergillus fumigatus. RNAcentral's name for it is "eukaryotic LSU rRNA". The stretch from base 158 to 311 matches the Rfam family "5.8S ribosomal RNA". The record is from RNAcentral. Lineage: Eukaryota; Fungi; Ascomycota; Eurotiomycetes; Eurotiales; Aspergillaceae.
CCCACCCGUGUCUAUCGUACCUUGUUGCUUCGGCGGGCCCGCCGUUUCGACGGCCGCCGGGGAGGCCUUGCGCCCCCGGGCCCGCGCCCGCCGAAGACCCCAACAUGAACGCUGUUCUGAAAGUAUGCAGUCUGAGUUGAUUAUCGUAAUCAGUUAAAACUUUCAACAACGGAUCUCUUGGUUCCGGCAUCGAUGAAGAACGCAGCGAAAUGCGAUAAGUAAUGUGAAUUGCAGAAUUCAGUGAAUCAUCGAGUCUUUGAACGCACAUUGCGCCCCCUGGUAUUCCGGGGGGCAUGCCUGUCCGAGCGUCAUUGCUGCCCUCAAGCACGGCUUGUGUGUUGGGCCCCCGUCCCCCUCUCCCGGGGGACGGGCCCGAAAGGCAGCGGCGGCACCGCGUCCGGUCCUCGAGCGUAUGGGGCUUUGUCACCUGCUCUGUAGGCCCGGCCGGCGCCAGCCGACACCCAACUUUAUUUUUCUAAGGUUGACCUCGGAUCAGGUAGGGAUACCCGCUGAACUUAAGCAUAUCAAA